GCCCUAGCACCUAUCUGGUUCAAGCCUUUUAUCCACAUUUACCACAAGCCAUCUCCUUUCCUGUUUUCACUCAUCUGUUCCACAAGCAGAUGUUGUGGUCGUGCCGGUGAAGAUUCGAAGGAUCUCCGAGAUGCGGUGGUGUUACCCAUGUCGUUCUUCUAUUCUUCCCCAAUCAUCAAUCGUGGACCCUUCGCCAAGCCCAAGGUAUACAAGUCAUUCUCAGAUUUUUCAAUCCUAUCGGCUGAAUUAGAACUCCUAUUAGUGGUUGUUAGUUCAAACCCCUUAUGCUAUUUCUGAUCAAUUCUAAGGAUUUACGUUGGCUCAAGAUCAGUUUUCUUCUUUAGGGAGAUACAAAUUUCAAAAACUUCCUCCUUUAUGGAGAGAUCACUUUCAAAACCGUCCUCCUUUAUGGAGAAACCAAUUUCGCAACCCUCCUCCAUCCCGGAGAGAAUGAUAUCACCACCAUGCUCCUCUUUGGAGCGAAUUAUUGAAAGCGACAAUGCGUUAACCGUAGAAGCCUUUUAUGACCAAAAGUUGGUCUUGGAUUUGUUGAAGGUUGGCUUCAAUUCUGAAUCCGUACAGGCAUCCAAAUAUAUUCCCGUCAUUGCAAGCUUUUCAGAGUUGAGCAUCUCAUUGAAAAAAUCUUCAAGCCUUUAUCUUUACUUUCCUUUAUCUCCUCUUUUGAGGAUUUGAUUUGAAUGCAACGGUUUGGAACAAAAAACUUUAUAGAGUUAUUAAAAACAACUAUAAAUCAUUUUAAAACAUCUUAAAAUUCUUAUAAAGUCUUUUAAUACACAUGUAAAUACUUUAAUCCUCAUUUUAAACAUUUGUAACUAUUUCAAAAUCUUUAUAAAUCGUUUAAAACCAUUGUAAAAGGUUUUAAAAUAAUUUACAAGAGCUUUUAAAGGAUUUACAGGAAAGCUCAACUCUGAAUAGCUUUUAAAAUCCUUUUGAAACUCUUAUAAAGUCUUUAAAAACAUUAGUAAAUCAUGUUUUAACUCUUAAAAAAUACAUUUUUAAAUAUUAUAAAACAUUUGUAAAUCUUUUUGAGACAUUUUAAAACUCUUGUCAACCCAUACAAAAAAGUUUUAAAGAGAUUUACAAGAGUUUUUCAAAGAUUUUUAAAGCAUUAAGGGUUUUAAAGGAUUAAAACCCUUGUAAAUCCUUUAAAAAUAUUUCAAAAACCCUAAUAAAUCUUUUCCGCUAAUUUCUCUUUGCGGGAAAAAUAUUUUGGCGGAAAAAUAUUUUUUUUGCGGGAAAUAUUGGCGGAGAAUUGUUUUUGGCGGGAAAAUUAUUUUUGGAAUAUUUUUGGUAGGAAAAUCAAAAUUUUAUUUUGUUAACCUAAAAAAGUUUUCAAAAUAGGAGUAAAAUGAUCAUUAAAAAUUAAACGAGGGUAUAAAUGAAAAGGCCAAUAGAAAGCGGCAUAAUUAAUAAGGAGUAGUCUUGGAAGGCAUAUCCUAGCAAUUAUCAAAAUGAUUUUAAAUACGAAUGAGCAGGAAACUUGAUUUAUGAGGCAUCCAAAAUAAAAAGUGGUAUCAAGUUUACUCUGGUUCUUUAUUUUAAAGAAUUAAAUCUUUAAAAUUGUCAAAAAAUUACAAAUAUUUAAACUUUAUUAAAAGUUAAACAUUAGAAAUUUCAAAUUAUUAGAAAGUUAAACUUUAUAAAAAAAUUAAAUAUUUAUAAUUAUAAAACUUUUAUUAAAUUUAAAAUAUUACAAAUAUUUAAACUUUAUAAGAAGUUUACAUAUUAUAAAUAUUUAAAUAUAUAAUAAUACGGGACGGUAUACUACGGGUGAAAUCCUAGAUAUAACAAUCAAAAUACAAUUAUAAAGUUUGGAUCGAUAUAAAAUUUUUUAGGUGAUUUUCUAAAGUACCAUUUUCUACUACCCUUUUGCAAUAAUACCCUUUUUUGUUGGCCAUUUUUAAAGACACCCUUUUUCUUGAACAAUAGUUCGAAAUUAUACAUUACCUAAUGAGAACAUAUAAUUAGAAACUGAAAUUUUUUCGUCAAAAAUUGUUUCCCGCCAAAAAAAUAAAAUUUCGUCAAAAAUGCAUUUAUAAAUCCUUGUAAAAUUUUUAAAAACCCUUUGAAACCUCUUAUAAAUCCUUUAAAACUCUUUAAAAAUCUUUGUACAAGUUUUAAAAAGCUUUGUAAAGUUGUUAAAAACCUAGGGGUGUCAAAUAGGUCAAAAUUCAUGGGUCAACUCAACCCAUGAACCCUAAUGAGUUGAAAUUUUUGACUCAAAUGAGUUGAUGGGUCAAAUGAGUUGAUGAGUCAAUUGGUUUGAUGAGUAAAAUGAGUUGGGUUGUAAUGGUUAAUGGUUUCAAUGGGUUACCCAAUUAACCCAUCAAGUUUUGUAAAAUUGAAUUAAACCAACUAAAAUCUCUAAACCAAUGCCAAUUUAAGUUUAACCAACACAUCUAAACCAAUUUAAUAAAAUUAAUAUUUUUCCAAAUUUCUUAAAUAUACAAGCGAUGAAAUUGAGAAAAAGUAAACUCGUAAUUUUUCCACAAAAAAACAUAAACCCGUGAUUUUCCCGCCAAAAACGUAAACCCGUGAUUUUCCCGCUAAAAACGUAAACCCGUGAUUUUCCCGCCAAAAACUUUAACACGUGAUUUUCCCGCCAAAAACGUAAAACCGUAAUUUUCCCACCAAAAACGUAAACCUAUAAUUUCCGCCAAAAACGUAAAUCCGUGAUUUUCCCGCCAAAACGUAAAUCCGUGAUUUUUCCACCAAAAACGUAAAUCCGUAAUUUUCCCGCCAAAAACGUAAACCGGUAAUUUUCCCGCCAAAAACGUAAACCUAUAAUUUUCCCGCCAAAAACGUAAACCCGUGAUUUUCCCGCCAAAAACGUAAACCAAUAAAAAGUGGAAUCCGUAAAUAUCCUAAGUUUGAUGAUAAUGAAUUAAUAAUGAUAAUUAUUUAUUAUUGUUUUAUAAUAAUAAUUAAUUAAAUUAUUACUUAAAUGGGUUAACCCAUUUAACAACUCAGUCCAUCAAAUUAAAUGAGUUAUGGUUGACCCAACUCAUUUAACAAAAUGAGUUGGGUCAACCAUAACUCAUUUAACCCUAAACUCAUUUGAUUAUGAGUUGAGUUGAGUUGGGUUACCCAUUUUGACAUCCCUAUAAAAACCCUUGUGAAUUUGCUAGUUUGAAAGUAUUUUGCAAACAUUUAUACCCGUCUUUAGGAGUCGUAAAUUAGUUGGACAAUUUCCAAUCCUUAUUCUUGUUCAUCUUACAAAGUCGUGUACUAUUUUCUAUAGAGUUGUUAUUGCUUUUUGUCGAUCAUCUAUUUGUUAUUGAUUCAAAUUAUUUCCAUAUAAAAAACUUUUAUAUUUAGACUGCUUAUUGAUCCCUAAGAUAUUUCUCAAGUCAUUUUGUUUACAAAUUGUAUUUUUUUCUUCUAAAAAUAAGCGAAUACAUAUAAUUUCAUAUAUCAAUUUAUGUUAAAUAAGAAUUGUCAUUUAUUUUACAAAUAAUAAUUAUAGAGUUUUAAAAGAUAGUAACUGGUUCAGUUUUGUAGAAUUGUAACCAAAUUGAUCUGAAAUUGGAGUCUUGUUUGUUUCGGUUCGGAAAAGCAAAUAUCUAGAAAUGUUUUCAUCAUUUCAUAAUUAUCGCAUCUAAAGAAUUAAACCAAACUAUAAACGUUAACCACAAAUGAGAAAUUGAAAAACAAAAAAAACAAACAUUUAGGUUUAAGUCGUUAAACAUAAUUUGUAGCAGUGAAAUUGAGCUAUCCGACUUGGCUUGAAUGAAAAUUCAACCAAAAAACACUUGGCAGAGUUGGUGUAAAAGGCAGCAAAAGGGAUUACUGAUUUUGUAUGAGAGGAAAGAAUGUAGAAUUUAACCGGAUCAAUGAUUUUUGUGAGAUGAAAGAAAAAGAAACAACAUAGAUCUAAGUUUUUUUUAUAUGAACAACUUCAUCAAACCAAUCGGUCUAAAUUAGGGUUUUAAUUUUUAAUAAAACAAAAAUCUGAACUUAUUUUAUACUUUGACCUCAUGGUUUUUGUCUACAUCAGUUUCGUAAAUCCGGUUAGAUAUUUCUUCUAAAUCCUAGCAAAAACUCUAAAAGAAAAAAUAAUUUUUCAUCAUCUAUGCUAAGUAAAUCAUUUUAGUUUAUUUUACUACACAAACACCAUGUCAUGUGCGUGACUUUCACAUUAUUAUCUUUUUUUUUUUUUUGUCAAGGACUUUCUUCAUUCAUUCAAUCAAACCCAAAGAGGGGUACAUAGGAUACAAAGUUUUGAAGCAUAAUCUUGCAAACAUACAAGAGAUGGAUAAGACAA
RNAcentral lists this long non-coding RNA (4285 nucleotides) under Arabidopsis thaliana (thale cress). Its description in RNAcentral is "long non-coding RNA (ATHA_LNC000235)". The stretch from base 2971 to 3090 matches the Rfam family "MIR405 microRNA precursor family". Lineage: Eukaryota; Viridiplantae; Streptophyta; Magnoliopsida; Brassicales; Brassicaceae. The record is from RNAcentral.